Molecule: ribosomal RNA, 409 nt
Filed under: uncultured bacterium
Lineage: Bacteria
Description: bacterial SSU rRNA
Rfam family: Bacterial small subunit ribosomal RNA
Source: RNAcentral
CAGCAGCCGCGGUAAUACGGAGGGGGCUAGCGUUGUUCGGAAUUACUGGGCGUAAAGCGUGCGUAGGUGGUGAGUUAAGUCUGUCGUGAAAGCCCCGGGCUCAACCUGGGAAUGGCGAUGGAUACUGGCUCGCUAGAGUGCGGUAGAGGAGAGUGGAAUUCCCGGCGUAGCAGCGAAAUGCGUAGAGAUCGGGAGGAACAUCAGUUGCGAAGGCGGCUCUCUGGACCAGCACUGACACUGAGGCACGAAAGCGUGGGGAGCAAACAGGAUUAGAUACCCUGGUAGUCCACGCCGUAAACGAUGGGCACUAGGUGUUCGGGGUAUUGACCCCCUGAGUGCCGCAGCUAACGCAUUAAGUGCCCCGCCUGGGGACUACGGCCGCAAGGCUGAAACUCAAAGGAAUUGACGG